This is a long non-coding RNA of Papilio xuthus (Asian swallowtail), 466 nucleotides long. RefSeq lists it as uncharacterized. Lineage: Eukaryota; Metazoa; Arthropoda; Insecta; Lepidoptera; Papilionidae. The record is from RefSeq and is a predicted model, not a curated record. The transcript has 2 exons.
GACGUUGUCAAAUUUUUGAUAUCCAUAAUUUUAGAAAAUAUAUGUAUUUGUAUAGUUUUGUACCGAUAUAUUUGUGAAAGUGUAAGAUGUCGGACCGAUUGUGUUGUCGGUAAUCAUAUGUUCGGUUUCCUUGGACAAUGUGCUGUUGCUGUUGUUGCAGCUUUUGGGAGAAGGUCGUUAAUUGGAUGUACUGUAUCGGCUCUUACUUGGGAUGCUUCAGAGUACAGUGCAGAUGUCAGAAAUGCGACGACGACGACGAAGACAGCUUAUAUAUAAUGGCAACUUAUUAUGAUUCUUCCUUAAAAUUGGACAGCGACGAUAAAGAACAAUUAUUUCGUGAGGUUGGAUUCUAUUCCCCGUGGAGAGAGGACACGAAGAAUAUGUGAAAUAUAUAAUUUUAUUUUGAUUGCCAUAAGGCACCUAUUUGCUCCGGUUUUGAAAGGUCAAUAAAUUUAAUUUACCAUUA